UGGGGAAUAUUGCACAAUGGGCGCAAGCCUGAUGCAGCCAUGCCGCGUGUGUGAAGAAGGCCUUCGGGUUGUAAAGCACUUUCAGCGGGGAGGAAGGCGAUAAGGUUAAUAACCUUGGCGAUUGACGUUACCCGCAGAAGAAGCACCGGCUAACUCCGUGCCAGCAGCCGCGGUAAUACGGAGGGUGCAAGCGUUAAUCGGAAUUACUGGGCGUAAAGCGCACGCAGGCGGUCUGUCAAGUCGGAUGUGAAAUCCCCGGGCUCAACCUGGGAACUGCAUUCGAAACUGGCAGGCUAGAGUCUUGUAGAGGGGGGUAGAAUUCCAGGUGUAGCGGUGAAAUGCGUAGAGAUCUGGAGGAAUACCGGUGGCGAAGGCGGCCCCCUGGACGAAGACUGACGCUCAGGUGCGAAAGCGUGGGGAGCAAACAGG
This 429-nucleotide ribosomal RNA is filed under the name Chloroflexota bacterium. RNAcentral's name for it is "Chloroflexi bacterium partial 16S ribosomal RNA". It matches the Rfam family "Bacterial small subunit ribosomal RNA", at positions 355 to 776 of the family's 1533-position model. The record is from RNAcentral. Lineage: Bacteria; Bacillati; Chloroflexota.